UGUUGGUGAGGUAAUGGCUCACCAAGGCGUCGACGGGUAGCCGGCCUGAGAGGGUGACCGGCCACACUGGGACUGAGACACGGCCCAGACUCCUACGGGAGGCAGCAGUGGGGAAUAUUGCACAAUGGGCGCAAGCCUGAUGCAGCAACGCCGCGUGAGGGAUGACGGCCUUCGGGUUGUAAACCUCUUUUAGCAGGGAAGAAGCGAAAGUGACGGUACCUGCAGAAAAAGCGCCGGCUAACUACGUGCCAGCAGCCGCGGUAAUACGUAGGGCGCAAGCGUUAUCCGGAAUUAUUGGGCGUAAAGAGCUCGUAGGCGGUUUGUCGCGUCUGCUGUGAAAUCCCGAGGCUCAACCUCGGGUCUGCAGUGGGUACGGGCAGACUAGAGUGCGGUAGGGGAGAUUGGAAUUCCUGGUGUAGCGGUGGAAUGCGCAGAUAUCAGGAGGAACACCGAUGGCGAAGGCAGAUCUCUGGGCCGUAACUGACGCUGAGGAGCGAAAGGGUGGGGAGCAAACAGGCUUAGAUACCCUGGUAGUCCACCCCGUAAACGUUGGGAACUAGUUGUGGGGUCCAUUCCACGGAUUCCGUGACGCAGCUAACGCAUUAAGUUCCCCGCCUGGGGAGUACGGCCGCAAGGCUAAAACUCAAAGG
Molecule: ribosomal RNA, 650 nt
Filed under: uncultured Actinomycetes bacterium
Lineage: Bacteria; Bacillati; Actinomycetota; Actinomycetes
Description: bacterial SSU rRNA
Rfam family: Bacterial small subunit ribosomal RNA
Source: RNAcentral